Molecule: long non-coding RNA, 314 nt
Filed under: Ananas comosus (pineapple)
Lineage: Eukaryota; Viridiplantae; Streptophyta; Magnoliopsida; Poales; Bromeliaceae
Description: long non-coding RNA (ACOM_LNC009046)
Source: RNAcentral
ACCUAUAGUUCUACAGUCCACAUGUAAAUCCUUCUCUUUUUGGUCUACAGUCCUCCCCUCCCCGGCUCUCACUCCGCCGCCCCAGGGACGCCGCGAAGGUCCUCCUCUGGCUCUGCCGCGCCGACUCCCCCGAGUUUUGCAGGCUCGAGGUCUACGAGAUCGCCAUCGGAGGGUUUUGCAGGCUCGGGAGAAUGCUCGAUGCGCUAAGGAUCGUGUUCUGAGUCUUGUGACUUCUGAGAGGAGGGGGUUUGUGGGGUACGGGGUUUGCUUCCGGAGAGGCGAGGGGAACUAUCAAUUUUUGGAGAAAAUUUUUG